This 374-nucleotide ribosomal RNA is filed under the name uncultured bacterium. Its description in RNAcentral is "bacterial SSU rRNA". It matches the Rfam family "Bacterial small subunit ribosomal RNA", at positions 30 to 405 of the family's 1533-position model. The record is from RNAcentral.
AUUGAACGCUGGCGGCAUGCCUUACACAUGCAAGUCGAACGGCAGCACGGGAGCAAUCCUGGUGGCGAGUGGCGAACGGGUGAGUAAUAUAUCGGAACGUGCCCAGUCGUGGGGGAUAACGUAGAGAAAUUUACGCUAAUACCGCAUACGAUCUAAGGAUGAAAGACGGGGACCGGUAAGGCCUCGCGCGAUUGGAGCGGCUGAUAUCAGAUUAGGNGUUGGUGAGGUAAAGACUCACCAAGCCGACGAUCUGUAGCUGGUUUGAGAGAACGACCAGCCACACUGGGACUGAGACACGGCCCAGACUCCUACGGGAGGCAGCAGUGGGGAAUUUUGGACAAUGGGCGAAAGCUGAUCCAGCAAUGCCGCGUGCA